GAUGACCCAAGAUUUGUAAGAACAUAGCCACUUGUUCGGGUAUUUGGACAUUUCUUGUUGGAAGAAGACCACCAAGAUGUUCAAGAAGGUAACAAAAACGUUUAAAGGUGUCCAAGUUCAUUCUAAGAUUAUCAUGACAUGUCACAUUAUUAAAACUCAGAAGGUCAUUCAAAUUAUUCAUUUGAGAUGGUGCUUUAGCAAUCAAACUAUAUGAUCUCGGA
RNAcentral lists this long non-coding RNA (221 nucleotides) under Erythranthe guttata (spotted monkey flower). Its description in RNAcentral is "long non-coding RNA (EGUT_LNC003673)". Lineage: Eukaryota; Viridiplantae; Streptophyta; Magnoliopsida; Lamiales; Phrymaceae. The record is from RNAcentral.